UAAAUAUUAUGCAGGCGUUCUCUUCCAUUGGUGGCUGUCGUAGGUUCCCACGAGUCAGCUGAUGACGUUUCACUUGGACAAACAACUAAGCAUUGUUGUAUAUUUUUUGCGUGUUUUAUUAUAAUUUUAUUAUUAUGAAAUUCGUGAACAUUAUUACUGAGCCUUGGCAGUCUAUUUUGUAUUUGUUUUAUUGAGGAGAAAAAAACAGACAAGAACGCAUAUUGUGUUGCGCCUGCGCUGUGACGUUCUUUUUCCAACCGCAUUUCCAGUCAAGAGGUCAAGAAUGUUCCUGUCUGCAUCAGGUAAGAAUUUAAAUAAAAAAUUACCGUUAUAAUAUGAUAUCUAUUUUUCAUAUAGUGUAAGAAACUUUCGUAUUAAUUGUGCAGGAGACUGUUCAUUUAAACUUUAUUGUGGUAACGUUAAAUGCUCGCUCGUUUUGCAAAGUUACGUUUGGAGAUUCAUGUUAACAGUCAUUGUUUAAUGAAAGGCACAUUGGACUGCAGUUUAGUUAGUAUGUGUGACACUUGCAGCACUUUAACGUAAAUCUUUAACACCGUGUCCUAAAUAGACGUGACACGCGGUAACGGGUUUCUUUUCAGUUUAUGUCCUGACGUUAAUAGGACGGGAUAUUAUAAAUUAUGCCUUUCGAUUAUCACGACGCCUCGUCGCGUUUGGUUAAGCACAUGGUGGAACAGUAUGCACGUCACUGUACCUACUGUACACCUGUGAGCGGCAUGACGAGACAAAAGACGGUAAAACUCAUUAUUAUUCGGUGAUGCUGUAACAUACUGGAUGCACCGCCACAUUUUAUAAUAAUGUUUUUUUAUUUUCGUGUCGCGCCCCUCGCGUUCAAUAUAACGUAGUGGUCUAAAUGUAAGGAGUCAAACUUCACGAACCUUUCACUGCUUGCAGUAAGGCUAAAGUGCUACGUAGUGAAUAAAAUGGGUGUAGUUUUGUUCUACUAGAUGUAGAUCACAAUUCUUGUGUCAAUGUUUGUUUGUAAUCUUUUUCAGCUAUCCAUCUGAAAAAGAAAAGCUGGCACUCGCAAAGGAGAUUGUGUUGUUGGAUUAUGGUCUUAUUUGGUCAAAAUGAGGGAAAUGUACUGUAAGGAUGCUUUUACAUACUUCAUUAAUGUGUAUGAAAUUACUUACUUGAGAAUGUGUAUAAAAACUGUACUUGACUCUAACUUAGUGCUAUUUUUGCAUUGAUCAUGAUAGGAGCAUUUUUCUUUUUUUUUUCUUUUUUGAUGGGCCAUCACACAGUGGACUUAUAAAAAUGAGACUACAGAACAUCAGACGGAAGCUUCAAUGGAGUUGAAGUGAGAGGACAUCAUCAAUAAAGAAUGCCAUUGACCAAACCUUCAGUCAUCAAAGGAGAUGGAUACAGGUGGACAUCGAGUUUUCCAGACUUACCGAUAGGAAAGAAGACACGUUUAUCAGGAAAUGGGAGGUGACAGUUAUUGAGAAACUCGGGGAAAUAGCAUCUUUAGAGAAGAAAAUGGACAUCAGACAUUCAUUGAAGAAAGCUGACAGUCAACAUAAUGAUGAGCUGUGUUAUACAAUGUUAAGUAUUCUCAUUCAUCUUCUGCUGUGUGAAUUCUGCUGUCUCAGACCUGUGGGACUUGGUGCCGGCUGGUACCAAAGUGACCUCUUUGCUUACUUAAUGAGGAAAAGGUGUCUGAAAUCAGCUCAGCCACAGUUGGUUUCCAGCGGUUCUUCAGGACAUAGAGGCCACUACGUAAUUGAAUGAAUGAUUCUCUUGCCUUUCCACUUGAUGUUGACAAGCUGACCUGUGCGGUAGACAGACUUUUCAAAUUUACUAGCUAAGUAACCUUAAGUAUCCCUGCCAACUGUCUUUAGUUUUUUUUGUAUGAAUAUGAUCUGCCCUUGUCCCAGUCCUCUUGCAAACGAUCCAAGGCAAUGGAGUUUCAAGAUGGACCGCAAAAUUGCUGUUUGUUUUAAACAAUGCAUGCACUAUGUGGCGGUUUCCCGGACAGGGAUUAGAGAAUAAAAGAUUUUUAAGAGCUGUCCAAACUGAAAACAACUUGCACUGACAUAUCUUAAAAUACAUCAGUGCCCUUUGUUUUGCCUCAAAAUGCACAAAUUGCCUACAAAUGUUUUUAGUAAGGCAUGUUUGUUAAAACCAGUUAUUUCCUAAUUAAUCUAAGGCCCUGUCCGGGAAACCACCCCUAAAUAUUUGUGAUGGAAAUUUCUUUAAAUACACUUGUCAAGUUCAUUUGAAGUAUUUUUCUAAAUGUAAAAUAACAUGUUAAUGUUUCAGGACAAGUUAAGAAUUUUUGAUAACUUGCAUGUUGAAAAUGAUUUCAGACAUUGUUCUAUUCAACAUGUUUAACACAGUUGCUUUUAAAUUCAAUGAAUUAUUUUAUAAAUAGUGUUUUAAAAUGUAUGAAUGUAAUGUAUGUUUGAAGUGAUUAUACUUGCACUUACAUUUAUUUAAAUUAGCAUACAUCUAGCAACAUACAGUACUAGCAUAUUUUCAUGCUAGCAUUAAUUGUCAAAUAUUUGUUAUUUUACAAAUAAAUAGUUUGUGAACAAUAUUCAAUAGUUUUCUGCGUGAUUUCAUUAUUUAAAGUUGACAAAUCAUAUGUUUUUUUCUCUUUUAUAUUAAAACUAAACAAUUACUGGGUAACACACAGUUGUGUUAAAUUAAUAGAAAGUUACACAUUAAUGUGUUUACUGAAGCAACACAUUUUUGUGUUGCAUUUUAUAACACAUAUUCUGUGUUAAAUUUAACUCAACAUGUGUUGUCCCUGCGCACACUCAGAACAUGUGUAAAAAAUAACACAUGUUGUGUUGUUUUCAACACAUUUGUUUUAAGAG
Paramisgurnus dabryanus is the source of this 2840-nucleotide non-coding RNA. Lineage: Eukaryota; Metazoa; Chordata; Actinopteri; Cypriniformes; Cobitidae. The record is from RefSeq and is a predicted model, not a curated record.